Molecule: ribosomal RNA, 372 nt
Filed under: uncultured organism
Description: bacterial SSU rRNA
Rfam family: Bacterial small subunit ribosomal RNA
Source: RNAcentral
CAGAGGGUGCGAGCGUUAAUCGGAAUUACUGGGCGUAAAGCGUGCGUAGACGGUUAUUUAAGUCGGGUGUGAAAGCCCCGGGCUCAACCUGGGAAUUGCAUUCGAGACUGAAUAGCUAGGGUACGGUAGAGGGAAGUGGAAUUUCCGGUGUAGCGGUGAGAUGCGUAGAUAUCGGAAGGAACAUCAGUGGCGAAAGCGACUUCCUGGACCAGUACCGACGUUCAGGCACGAAAGCGUGGGGAGCAAACAGGAUUAGAUACCCUGGUAGUCCACGCCAUAAACGAUGAGGACUAGACGUUGGAGGGGUAAGCCUUUCAGUGUCGUAGCUAACGCGCUAAGUCCUCCGCCUGGGGGAGUACGGCCGCAAGGUUG